RNAcentral lists this ribosomal RNA (513 nucleotides) under uncultured bacterium. Its description in RNAcentral is "bacterial SSU rRNA". It matches the Rfam family "Bacterial small subunit ribosomal RNA", at positions 501 to 1016 of the family's 1533-position model. The record is from RNAcentral.
CUACGUGCCAGCAGCCGCGGUAAUACGGAAGGUCCAGGCGUUAUCCGGAUUUAUUGGGUUUAAAGGGAGCGUAGGCUGGAGAUUAAGUGUGUUGUGAAAUGUAGACGCUCAACGUCUGAAUUGCAGCGCAUACUGGUUUCCUUGAGUACGCACAACGUUGGCGGAAUUCGUCGUGUAGCGGUGAAAUGCUUAGAUAUGACGAAGAACUCCGAUUGCGAAGGCAGCUGACGGGAGCGCAACUGACGCUUAAGCUCGAAGGUGCGGGUAUCAAACAGGAUUAGAUACCCUGGUAGUCCGCACAGUAAACGAUGGAUGCCCGCUGUUGGUACCUGGUAUCAGCGGCUAAGCGAAAGCAUUAAGCAUCCCACCUGGGGAGUACGCCGGCAACGGUGAAACUCAAAGGAAUUGACGGGGGCCCGCACAAGCGGUGGAGCAUGUGGUUUAAUUCGAAGCAACGCGAAGAACCUUACCAGGUCUUGACAUCCCUCUGACCGCUCUAGAGAUAGAGUUUUC